CGCUAGCGGGAGGCUUACACAUGCAAGUCGAGGGGUAAGGUCUCUUCGGAGAAUACACGACCGGCGCACGGGUGAGUAACGCGUAUGCAACCUACCUAUAACACAAGGAUAGCUCCCGGAAACGGGAAUUAAUACUUGAUGACAUUCAAAGAUGGCAUCAUCAAUGAAUCAAAGUUCCGGCGGUUAUAGAUGGGCAUGCGUGACAUUAGCUAGUUGGUGAGGUAGAGGCUCACCAAUGCGACGAUGUCUAGGGGGUCUGAGAGGAUGAUCCCCCACACUGGUACUGAGACACGGACCAGACUCCUACGGGAGGCAGCAGUGAGGAAUAUUGCGCAAUGGAGGAAACUCUGACGCAGCCAUCCCGCGUGCAGGAUUGACGGCCCUAUGGGUUGUAAACUGCUUUUCUAUACCAAGAAACACCGAUACGUGUAUCGGUUCGCCGGUAGUAUAGGAAUAAGCAUCGGCUAACUCCGUGCCAGCAGCCGCGGUAAUACGGAGGAUGCAAGCGUUAUCCGGAAUCACUGGGUCUAAAGGGUGCGCAGGCGGAAUAGUAAGUCAGAGGUGAAAGCCCACAGCUCAACUGUGGAAUUGCCUUUGAUACUGUUAUUCUUGAGUGUAGUUGAAGUAGGCGGAAUAUAGCAUGUAGCGGUGAAAUGCAUAGAUAUGCUAUAGAACACCAAUUGCGAAGGCAGCUUGCUAAACUAUAACUGACGCUGAGGCACGAAAGCGUGGGGAGCGAACAGGAUUAGAUACCCUGGUAGUCCACGCCGUAAACUAUGAACACUCGCUGUUGGCAAUACACAGUCAGC
Molecule: ribosomal RNA, 809 nt
Filed under: uncultured organism
Description: bacterial SSU rRNA
Rfam family: Bacterial small subunit ribosomal RNA
Source: RNAcentral